AGUGAACGCUGGCGGUAGGCCUAACACAUGCAAGUCGAACGGCAGCACAGUAAGAGCUUGCUCUUACGGGUGGCGAGUGGCGGACGGGUGAGGAAUACAUCGGAAUCUACUUUUUCGUGGGGGAUAACGUAGGGAAACUUACGCUAAUACCGCAUACGACCUACGGGUGAAAGCAGGGGAUCUUCGGACCUUGCGCGAUUGAAUGAGCCGAUGUCGGACUAGCUAGUUGGCGGGGUAAAGGCCCACCAAGGCGACGAUCCGUAGCUGGUCUGAGAGGAUGAUCAGCCACACUGGAACUGAGACACGGUCCAGACUCCUACGGGAGGCAGCAGUGGGGAAUAUUGGACAAUGGGCGCAAGCCUGAUCCAGCCAUACCGCGUGGGUGAAGAAGGCCUUCGGGCUGUAAAGCCCUUUUGUUGGGAAAGAAAAGCAGCAGGUUAAUACCCCGCUGUUCUGACGGUACCCAAAGAAUAAGCACCGGCUAACUUCGUG
Molecule: ribosomal RNA, 492 nt
Filed under: uncultured bacterium
Lineage: Bacteria
Description: partial 16S ribosomal RNA
Rfam family: Bacterial small subunit ribosomal RNA
Source: RNAcentral